UUUUUACUACCCUGAACGCACCAGAUCUGAUCUCAUCUGAUCUCGGAAGCUAAGCAGGGUCUGGCCUGGUUAGUAUUUGGAUGGGAUUCUGGGAUCAUAACUUGAGCCAAAAU
RNAcentral lists this ribosomal RNA (113 nucleotides) under Felis catus (domestic cat). The record is from RNAcentral. Lineage: Eukaryota; Metazoa; Chordata; Mammalia; Carnivora; Felidae.